UUGCCUCUUUGCCGGUCCUCCUCGGUGACCGUUCUCCUGCGCGAAAGGACCUUGGGCUCCCCCUCUGCCCGGGCGGCUAGCGGGAGCUAUACGAAGCUGCAGUGGGGAAGUCGGCGGCGUUACGUGGCAUUGACCCAGAGCUCUGAGACUCCUCAGCACAAUGACUCAAGCAGAAAUUAAACUGUGUUCUUUGUUGCUGCAAGAGCAUUUUGGAGAGAUCGUAGAAAAAAUUGGAGUCCACCUAAUCAGAACUGGCAGCCAGCCACUAAGAGUUAUUGCCCAUGACACAGGAACAUCGUUGGAUCAGGUAAAAAAAGCCCUUUGUGUCCUCAUCCAGCAUAACCUGGUGAUAUAUCAGGUGCACAAACGUGGUGUGGUAGAGUAUGAAGCCCAGUGCAGCCGGGUGUUGCGAAUGCUUAGGUAUCCCCGGUACAUCUAUACUGCCAAAACGCUGUACAGUGACACUGGUGAGCUGAUUGUUGAGGAGCUCCUGUUGAAUGGCAAGAUGGCAAUGUCAGCUGUAGUGAAGAAAGUAGCAGAUCGGCUCACAGAGACUAUGGAGGAUGGCAAGACCAUGGACUAUGCUGAGGUCUCAAACACAUUUGUGCGACUAGCAGACACACACUUCGUGCAGCGUUGCCCCUUGGUGCCUGCCACUGAGAAUUCAGACCCUGGGCCACCGCCACCUGCCCCCACUCUUGUCAUCAGUGAAAAGGACAUGUACCUGGUUCCUAAACUGAGCUUGAUAGGGAAAGGUAAAAGGAGGAGAUCAUCUGACGAAGAUGCAACUGGGGAGCCCAAGGCCAAGAGACCAAAACAUACCACAGAUAACAAAGAGCCCAUUCCAGAUGAUGGGAUUUAUUGGCAGGCCAACCUUGACAGAUUCCACCAGCACUUCCGUGACCAAGGCAUUGUCAGUGCAGUUGCCAACAGGAUGGACCAGGUGAUAUCUAAGUGGGUGGGACAGUGGCUAUCAGGAAUAUUCACUUAUUUGCAGAUGUGGCCAUUGGCAUAUAGCCAGAGCCAGCACAGCAGAGUGAAUUCUGAUUUCCAGUUCACUUUUCAAACCCAGACAAGCAGCGAGAUCGUGCGGACCAUGCUCCGGAUGAGUGAGAUUACCACUUCCUCUAGUGCCCCCUUCACCCAGCCAUUGUCUUCCAACGAGAUCUUCAGAUCCCUACCUGUUGGCUAUAACAUCUCUAAGCAAGUUCUUGAUCAGUAUCUCACUCUGCUGGCAGAUGAUCCACUUGAGUUUGUUGGAAAGUCUGGCGACAGUGGUGGAGGAAUGUAUGUCAUCAACCUACAUAAGGCUCUAGGAUCUCUAGCCACAGCCACUCUGGAGUCGGUCAUACAAGAGAGAUUUGGGUCUCGCUGUGCCAGAAUAUUCCGUUUAGUUUUACAAAAGAAACACCUGGAGCAGAAACAGGUAGAAGACUUUGCAAUGAUUCCAGCAAAGGAGGCAAAGGAUAUGCUUUAUAAAAUGCUCUCAGAAAAUUUCAUAUCACUCCAGGAAAUUCCCAAAACACCAGACCAUGCCCCAUCCAGGACCUUCUAUUUAUAUACUGUGAACAUCCUGUCAGCUGCCCGAAUGUUGCUGCACAGAUGCUACAAGAGUGUAGCCAACUUGAUAGAAAGGAGGCAAUUUGAAACCAAAGAAAACAAGCGUCUACUGGAAAAGUCUCAGAGGGUAGAAGCCAUCAUUGCAUCUAUGCAGGCUACAGGUGCAGAGGAGGCACAGCUACAAGAAAUAGAGGAGAUGAUCACAGCCCCUGAACGCCAGCAGCUAGAGACCCUGAAACGUAAUGUCAACAAGUUGGAUGCCUGUGAGAUCCAGGUGGAUGAAACCAUCUUCCUGCUGGAGUCAUACAUCGAGAGCACCGUGAAGAGACAAUGACCCAGAAGAAGAGUCUUCCUCAGAAGAUCUGAGGGGAUUGGAAGGAAGAAUAAAGGAGGGGACUCCCGGCUCCAUCCCUGGUUGGGGAACUAAGAUCCCACAUGCUGGGGCAACUAGGCCCCUGGUGCUCUGGAGCCUGCAUGCCACAACUAUAGAGAAGCCUGCAUGUCACAACUAUAGAGAAGCCCACAGGCGGCAACAAAAGAUCCCACAUGAUGCAACUAAGACCCCACACAACCAUAAAUAAA
This is an RNA transcript of Orcinus orca (killer whale), 2142 nucleotides long. It is a transcript of the gene named RNA polymerase III subunit C, with no coding region annotated. The record is from RefSeq and is a predicted model, not a curated record. Lineage: Eukaryota; Metazoa; Chordata; Mammalia; Artiodactyla; Delphinidae. The transcript has 15 exons.